UGGCCACAUUACAUUGAAACACCAGAUCCUCAUACAAUCAUUGAAGUUAAGCAAUGUUGAGCCUGAUCAGUACCUAGAUGAGUGAAUGUUUGGGAAUACCAGGUGCUGUAAG
Non-coding RNA from Acanthosepion pharaonis, 112 nucleotides. Lineage: Eukaryota; Metazoa; Mollusca; Cephalopoda; Sepiida; Sepiidae. The record is from the annotation of a GenBank genome assembly.